Molecule: transfer RNA, 59 nt
Filed under: Heterocephalus glaber (naked mole-rat)
Lineage: Eukaryota; Metazoa; Chordata; Mammalia; Rodentia; Bathyergidae
Rfam family: tRNA
About the family: Transfer RNA (tRNA) molecules are approximately 80 nucleotides in length.
Source: Rfam by way of RNAcentral
AUGGCUCAGUGGCAGAGUGCUUGCCCAAUAUGCAUGACCCCCUGGGUUCAAUUCCCAGU